CAGCAGCCGCGGUAAUACAGAGGGUGCAAGCGUUAAUCGGAUUUACUGGGCGUAAAGCGUGCGUAGGCGGUUUGUUAAGUCGGAUGUGAAAUCCCUGAGCUCAACCUAGGAACUGCAUUCGAAACUGGCAAGCUAGAGUAUGGGAGAGGAUGGUGGAAUUUCAGGUGUAGCGGUGAAAUGCGUAGAUAUCGGAAGGAACACCGGUGGCGAAGGCGGCCACCUGGACUAAUACUGACGCUGAGGUACGAAAGCUUGGGGAGCAAACAGGAUUAGAUACCCCAGUAGUCCCUGUCUCUUAUAA
RNAcentral lists this ribosomal RNA (301 nucleotides) under uncultured bacterium. Its description in RNAcentral is "partial 16S ribosomal RNA". It matches the Rfam family "Bacterial small subunit ribosomal RNA", at positions 509 to 809 of the family's 1533-position model. The record is from RNAcentral.